This 253-nucleotide ribosomal RNA is filed under the name uncultured bacterium. RNAcentral's name for it is "partial 16S ribosomal RNA". It matches the Rfam family "Bacterial small subunit ribosomal RNA", at positions 524 to 776 of the family's 1533-position model. The record is from RNAcentral.
UACAGAGGUCUCAAGCGUUGUUCGGAUUCAUUGGGCGUAAAGGGCUCGUAGGCGGCCAACUAAGUCGGAUGUGAAAUCCCCAGGCUUAACCUGGGAACUGCAUCCGAUACUGGAUGGCUUGAAUCCGGGAGAGGGAUGCAGAAUUCCAGGUGUAGCGGUGAAAUGCGUAGAUAUCUGGAGGAAUACCGGUGGCGAAGGCGGCAUCCUGGACCGGCAUUGACGCUGAGGAGCGAAAGCUAGGGGAGCAAACAGG